GACGAACGCUGGCGGCGUGCUUAACACAUGCAAGUCGAACGGAAAGGCCCUGCUUUUGUGGGGUGCUCGAGUGGCGAACGGGUGAGUAACACGUGAGUAACCUGCCCUUGACUUUGGGAUAACUUCAGGAAACUGGGGCUAAUACCGGAUAGGAGCUCCUGCUGCAUGGUGGGGGUUGGAAAGUUUCGGCGGUUGGGGAUGGACUCGCGGCUUAUCAGCUUGUUGGUGGGGUAGUGGCUUACCAAGGCUUUGACGGGUAGCCGGCCUGAGAGGGUGACCGGCCACAUUGGGCCUGAGCUACGGCCCAGACUCCUACGGGAGGCAGCAGUGGGGAAUAUUGCACAAUGGGCGGAAGCCUGAUGCAGCAACGCCGCGUGCGGUAUGACGGCCUUCGGGUUGUAAACCGCUUUCGCCUGUGACGAAGCGUGAGUGACGGUAAUGGGUAAAGAAGCACCGGCUAACUACGUG
This 468-nucleotide ribosomal RNA is filed under the name uncultured bacterium. RNAcentral's name for it is "partial 16S ribosomal RNA". It matches the Rfam family "Bacterial small subunit ribosomal RNA", at positions 28 to 507 of the family's 1533-position model. The record is from RNAcentral.